Molecule: ribosomal RNA, 253 nt
Filed under: uncultured bacterium
Lineage: Bacteria
Description: partial 16S ribosomal RNA
Rfam family: Bacterial small subunit ribosomal RNA
Source: RNAcentral
UACGUAGGGUGCAAGCGUUAAUCGGAAUUACUGGGCGGAAAGCGUGCGCAGGCGGUUGUGUAAGUCUGUCGUGAAAUCCCCGGGCUCAACCUGGGAAUUGCGAUGGAGACUGCACGGCUAGAGUGUGUCAGAGGGGGGUAGAAUUCCACGUGUAGCAGUGAAAUGCGUAGAUAUGUGGAGGAACACCGAUGGCGAAGGCAGCCCCCUGGGAUAACACUGACGCUCAUGCACGAAAGCGUGGGGAGCAAACAGG